AACGAACGCUGGCGGCAUGCCUAACACAUGCAAGUCGAACGAGACCUUCGGGUCUAGUGGCGCACGGGUGCGUAACGCGUGGGAACCUGCCCUUAGGUUCGGAAUAACUCCCCGAAAGGGGUGCUAAUACCGGAUAAUGCCUUCGGACCAAAGAUUUAUCGCCUUUGGAUGGGCCCGCGUUGGAUUAGCUAGUUGGUAGGGUAAAAGCCUACCAAGGCGACGAUCCAUAGCUGGUCUGAGAGGAUGAUCAGCCACACUGGGACUGAGACACGGCCCAGACUCCUACGGGAGGCAGCAGUGGGGAAUAUUGGACAAUGGGCGAAAGGCUGAUCCAGCCAUGCCGCGUGAGUGAUGAAGGCCUUAGGGUUGUAAAGCUCUUUUACCCGGGAUGAUAAUGACAGUACCGGGAGAAUAAGCUCCGGCUAACUCCGUG
This 433-nucleotide ribosomal RNA is filed under the name uncultured bacterium. RNAcentral describes it as "partial 16S ribosomal RNA". It matches the Rfam family "Bacterial small subunit ribosomal RNA", at positions 29 to 507 of the family's 1533-position model. The record is from RNAcentral.